AACGUAGGUUCCGAGCGUUAUCCGGAUUUACUGGGCGUAAAGCGCGUUCAGGCGGUUUGGCAAGUCGGGCAUGAAAUCUCUCGGCUCAACCGGGAGAGGUUGUCCGAUACUUCCAGACUUGAGGGCAGUAGAGGGUGGUGGAAUUCCGGGUGUAGUGGUGAAAUGCGUAGAUAUCCGGAGGAACACCAGUGGCGAAAGCGGCCACCUGGACUGCACCUGACGCUGACACGCGAAAGCAUGGGGAGCAAACAGG
This 253-nucleotide ribosomal RNA is filed under the name uncultured bacterium. RNAcentral's name for it is "partial 16S ribosomal RNA". It matches the Rfam family "Bacterial small subunit ribosomal RNA", at positions 524 to 776 of the family's 1533-position model. The record is from RNAcentral.